Molecule: ribosomal RNA, 1223 nt
Filed under: metagenome
Description: SSU rRNA
Rfam family: Eukaryotic small subunit ribosomal RNA
Source: RNAcentral
CUCAUGGUUUCACGGUAUUGCAAUGAGAACAAUUUAAAACCCUUAGCGAGAAUCAAGUGGAGGACAAGUCUGGUGCCAGCACCCGCGGUAAUUCCAGCUCCACUAGCGUAUAUUAAAGUUGUUGCAGUUAAAAAGCUCGUAGUUGAACCUCUGUCUGGGGCUAGUUUUGGCUUUGGUCAGGCUAGUUCUAGGCAUCCGCCUACAAGACUUAGAGGGCAUUCAGUUGUUCACUAGGAGGAGUAGGCAUUUUACUUUGAAAAAAUUAGAGUGUUUAAGGCAGGCAAUCGCCCGCAUAUAUUAGCAUGGAAUAAUAGAAUAGGACACUUUUCCAUUUCGUUGGUUAUUGGAAUCGUGUAAUGAUUAAUAGGGACAGUUGUGGGCAUUUGUAUUUAAUUGUCAGAGGUGAAAUUCUUGGAUUUAUUAAAGACAAACUAACGCGAAAGCAUUUGCCAAGGAUGUUUUCAUUAAUCAAGAACGAAAGUUAGGGGAUCAAAGACGAUCAGAUACCGUCCUAGUCUUAACUAUAAACUAUUCCGACUCAAUGUUUGACUGGCUUAUAUAACCAGUUGAGCGUUGUAUGAGAAAUCAAAGUCUUUAGGUUCUGGGGGGAGUAUGGUUGCAAAGCUGAAACUUAAAGGAAUUGACGGAAGAGCACAACCAGGAGUGGAUUCUGCGGCUUAAUUUGACUCAACACGGGGAAACUUACCAGGUUAAAACAAUAGUGGGAUUGACAGUUUGAGAGCGCUUUCUUGAUUGGUUGGGUGGUGGUGCAUGGCCGUUCUUAGUUGGUGGAGUGAUUUGUCUGCUUAAUUGCGUUAACGAACGAGACCUUAACCUGCUACUAGACUGGCGAUCAUCAAUCGUUAGCUCUUCUUAGAGGGACUUUGGUUGUUUUAACUCCAAGGAAGUUUGAGGCAAUAGCAGGUCUGUGAUGCCCUUAGAUAUCCUGGGCCGCACGCGUCAUACAAUGACUAGUUCAGAAAGUUUUCUCCUGACCCGAAAGGGGAUGGGUAAUCUUGAUAAUACUAGUCGUGUUAGGGAUCGAUCUUUGCAAUUAUAGAUCUUGAACGAGGAAUUCCUAAUAAGUGCGGUUCAUCAGACCGUACUGAUUACGUCCCUGCUCUUUGUACACACCGCCCGUCGCUUCUACCGAGUGGGUGGUCCGGUGAGAUAAUUGAACUUCGCAGGUAACUGAGAGGAAAGAUUAUCAAACCUAUCCACCU